Molecule: ribosomal RNA, 339 nt
Filed under: uncultured Anoxybacillus sp.
Lineage: Bacteria; Bacillati; Bacillota; Bacilli; Caryophanales; Anoxybacillaceae
Description: bacterial SSU rRNA
Rfam family: Bacterial small subunit ribosomal RNA
Source: RNAcentral
GGUGCAUGGUUGUCGUCAGCUCGUGUCGUGAGAUGUGGUUAAGUCCCGCAACGAGCGCAACCCUCGACCUUAGUUGCCAGCAUUCAGUUGGGCACUCUAAGGUGACUGCCGGCUAAAAGUCGGAGGAAGGUGGGGAUGACGUCAAAUCAUCAUGCCCCUUAUGACCUGGGCUACACACGUGCUACAAUGGGCGGUACAAAGGGUCGCGAACCCGCGAGGGGGAGCCAAUCCCAAAAAGCCGCUCUCAGUUCGGAUUGCAGGCUGCAACUCGCCUGCAUGAAGCCGGAAUCGCUAGUAAUCGCGGAUCAGCAUGCCGCGGUGAAUACGUUCCCGGGCCUU